RNAcentral lists this ribosomal RNA (301 nucleotides) under uncultured bacterium. RNAcentral describes it as "partial 16S ribosomal RNA". It matches the Rfam family "Bacterial small subunit ribosomal RNA", at positions 509 to 807 of the family's 1533-position model. The record is from RNAcentral.
CAGUCGCCGCGGUAAUACGUAGGUGGCAAGCGUUGUCCGGAAUUAUUGGGCGUAAAGGGCUCGCAGGCGGUUUCUUAAGUCUGAUGAGAAAGCCCCCGGCUCAACCGGGGAGGGUCAUUGGUAACUGGGAAACUUGAGUGCAGAAGAGGAGAGUGGAAUUCCACGUGUAGCGGUGAAAUGCGUAGAGAUGUGGAGGAACACCAGUGGCGAAGGCGACUCUCUGGUCUGUAACUGACGCUGAGGAGCGAAAGCGUGGGGAGCGAACAGGAUUAGAUACCCCUGUAGUCCCUGUCUCUUAUAC